UGAGAGGAAGAGUCUGGUGGCUCAGUCGGUCUUCAAAACCGAUAGCGGGCGGAUAAUACCGUCGGUGACAGGUUCGAUUCCUGUCCUCUCAGCCA
RNAcentral lists this transfer RNA (95 nucleotides) under Candidatus Cloacimonadota bacterium. Its description in RNAcentral is "tRNA-Sec". It matches the Rfam family "Selenocysteine transfer RNA". The record is from RNAcentral. Lineage: Bacteria; Pseudomonadati; Candidatus Cloacimonadota.